UCUAAUCAUUUGAAGAAAUGCUUCAACCAAGACCCUUUUUGUAUGAAGCCAUGUUAUUUGUAUGGUUGGAUGGGCCACAAACAAAACAUAAAAACUCUUCCUAAGUUUUGUUGUGAAUAAUAUAGCAUUUCAGAUUAGUUUGCCUAAAUUCCAUGGGUUAACAUUCAUUUACAUGUCUACUUAUGAUAUUUAUGUCACUCAACAUUAAUUUGCUAUAGGCUAUGGUGGGUUUACUAGAAAAGAAGAUUGAAGAAAUGCAAUUGGAAGAGAUGCAGCUUCAAUUGAAAGAAACCGAAAAGAUGCUAGUGAAGGAACAAGAGGCUAUUGACGUAGAGUCAAAGAUAAUUCAAUUGAAGACUGACAUGCAGAUGUUCUUGUAGUUUCUUUGUUAACUUUCUUAGACUGUUAAGCUAGAAUUAAGCUUUAGCUUCAAUGGGUUCUGCCAUUUCCAAACAAACUUAGUUAUGUAUAAGAUUUCCAUCCACCACCAAUGGAUGGUUGGAUAUCAACAGAGUCUCAUUUAGAAAUGAGAACUCAUGAAUCUUGUUGUGGAAUUAUUCAAAGUUCUCCAAUUUUAUCUUUGUUAAAAUUGUAGUUUUAAUUGGAAAGGGGCGUAGUGGCCUAGAUAUCUAUAGAGAUAUAAUUUCAAAGUUAGCCAAAGAAGUCCACUUGACAUCAAGAUCCACAAAGGUUGAAGUUGUGAAGUUGCAGAGCCAUGAUAAUAUUGUUCAAACAUUGCACGUGGGUAUCCCAUCCAACUGGAUAGAGCCUACCUGAAAAUUAGAAACUUCCUUUUUGACUGAUAAGUAUGUUGUUCACCAAACAUACUUAUCUACUGAAUAAAUAAUAACCAAGAUAAGGUACUUUAGGCAUAAGUAGCUUAUGUAAAGUAACUUAUGGUCGAAAUGCCUCCUUUCUAGAUGGUUAAAAAUGAAAAAUACUUAAUCAUCCCAUUUUGACAAUUACACCUCCAAGAUUUGACAUUACGACUUUUUAGAAAUUUCUGACUGUUUCCAUCUAAUACUAAUUUAAUUAUUUUUUCCAUGCAACGUGGUCACUUUCAAGGCCAUUCUUUUGAUAUUAUAUUAGCCUUUCAGUUUGUUGGGCUGGCAAAAGCUUAGUGGGGCUCCUAGAGGUACUCAAAAAUUUUAUACAUGGUGUACAUUAACUCCAGUAAAACAGUCUAAAUUGAGGGGCCCACUAUAGAUAGGUCAUCAUCCAAAUUUUAGAUUGUAUAAACGACCCUAACCUCCGACUAUGGGAAAUUGUUUAUUUAACUUGGGCCAUCCAUUAAAUGUCGAUCAACCAACCUCCUAGAUAUCAAAUUAGUGUAUUUUUCAUGUUUCACAAGCCAUCUAAACUGCGACCUACAAUAUGAACAGUUUAAUUUAAGAUACUACUAUGCCACAUGUGUAGUUUCUUAAUGCUUGUGUAUCAACUAACACAUCAUUGUUUUAUUGAUCCAAGCUUUUCAUGAAAUUAAUAAUUUCAUAGUAAAUUUUGUACAUGGGCCUGCAUGCAGAUGUGGAGUUAGGCGGCACAAGGACUGUAGCAUAAGCUCUUGCAAGGUCCAAACAAGUAGAGUUGGCUAUCAAAACUUUAGAUGAGAAUGCAAACAAAGAUCGAUCAGAGAGAGUUUUCCAGAUGACUGAAAUUGAUGAUCUGCAAGCCCCUCAUGACCUUCCUCUUGCACAACUUUGUAUCAAGGUUUGAUUCAUCAUCCUGAGCUGUUUAUAGUUUUGUUGAAAACUUAAAUGUCUAAACAUGUUUGUUGCAUCAGGACACGAGUACUCUAAUUUUUAAGUAUAUGACUUUCUGGCGGUUUAUAUGAUGUUUGUGUUUAUAUGAAUGAAUAUUCCUUUGACACUGCUUAUUGAUUUGAUAAUCUAUGUUAGAAACUAGGAAGUAUUUCUUGUGGUUAUUUCAUUUGAUUGUGCUAACUUAAAUUUGAAUUAUCCAUAGUUUUUUGCAUCAGUUUUGGUCGAUUUGUAAUUAUUGAGGUCAUUUUCUAUGGCCUAGAUUAUCAUAUUUCAACUGGAGUAAAAUUUUUGGUGGAUCUCAACAUACUUUACGUGCAAAACUCACAUUCUCACAAGAAUCACAUGGAAACAUCACAAAGGAAGUUGGACCUGUAAGCAUGAUUUUCACCAUACUAAUAUAUGAUGCUUCAAAGCUUCAGAUGCUUUCAGACAACCGAACAAGCUAUCGUUGUUCAUUAGCCAAGUAAAAGUCAUACCCAAAUCUCGCGUUGUGACUUUGUAUUAUUUGUGGAACCUAAUGUUGUGUAAUAGUUUGAUUGAGUUUGUUUUGAAAACUUUAAAUAGACUGUUGUUAAUUAUUUUGUUGGUAU
Magnolia sinica is the source of this 2350-nucleotide RNA transcript. It is a transcript of the gene named AP-4 complex subunit mu-like, with no coding region annotated. NCBI's taxonomy places the organism in Eukaryota, Viridiplantae, Streptophyta, Magnoliopsida, Magnoliales, Magnoliaceae. The transcript has 6 exons. The record is from RefSeq and is a predicted model, not a curated record.